UACGUAGGUGGCAAGCGUUGUCCGGAUUUACUGGGCGUAAAGAGCGCGCAGGCGGUUGUUUAAGUCGAAUGUGAAAGCCCCCGGCUCAACUGGGGAGGGUCAUUCGAUACUGAUCGACUUGAAGGCAGGAGAGGGAAGUGGAAUUCCAGGUGUAGCGGUGAAAUGCGUAGAUAUCUGGAGGAACACCGGUGGCGAAGGCGGCAUCCUGGACCGGUAUUGACGCUGAGGCGCGAAAGCUAGGGUAGCAAACGGG
Molecule: ribosomal RNA, 253 nt
Filed under: uncultured bacterium
Lineage: Bacteria
Description: partial 16S ribosomal RNA
Rfam family: Bacterial small subunit ribosomal RNA
Source: RNAcentral